RNA transcript from Leguminivora glycinivorella, 2666 nucleotides. It is a transcript of the gene named mitochondrial folate transporter/carrier, with no coding region annotated. The record is from RefSeq and is a predicted model, not a curated record. The transcript is spliced from 6 exons. Lineage: Eukaryota; Metazoa; Arthropoda; Insecta; Lepidoptera; Tortricidae.
AUAAUCUGUGCAAUCGUGAUGUGAUGGAGGAAAGUGAUUAGUACAUGCAAUUUCGUCGAAUAUUACGAAAGAAAUAUGCUUAGUGAAAAUUCAUUUAAAUAUACAUUUGUUAAAGAUUUCUGGGAAAGUGUGUUUCGGUAGGCUUGUUGAUUUGUGAAAACAAAAUGCAAAGUAUUUAUCUGUGAUCUAUUAUAAUCAUGAGUACGAUGAAGAACCCAAAUCCAUCGUCUUCGAAGGCGGCUUUGCUAAGCCACAUUAAAUACGAGCACCUGGUAGCUGGUAUAUCGGGUGGUGUUACGUCUACGUUGAUUCUGCACCCUUUGGACCUCAUUAAAAUUAGAUUUGCUGUGAAUGACGGCCGGACCGCCACAGUACCGAGGUACGAUGGGCUCAGCAGCGCAUUUGUGACCAUAGUGAAGAAAGAAGGUGUAAAAGGGCUGUACAGAGGUGUCACGCCCAACGUGUGGGGCUCUGGCUCCGCGUGGGGAUUCUAUUUCCUAUUCUACAAUGCAAUAAAGACAUGGAUCCAAGGCGGCAACGCGCGCAACCCGCUAGGCCCUGGCAUGCACAUGCUUGCAGCUGCCGAGGCUGGAGUCCUAUCACUCAUAAUGACUAACCCUAUCUGGGUGGUGAAGACACGACUAUGUCUACAGUAUAGUGAAGAACAUGUGGCGGACAAUAAGAGAUAUAAGGGCAUGGUGGAUGGACUGUGCAAGAUUUAUAGGACUGAGGGGAUCAGGGGAUUAUAUCGGGGUUUCGUGCCCGGCAUGUUUGGCGUGUCGCACGGCGCGCUACAGUUCAUGACCUACGAGGAGAUGAAGAACCGCUACAACCAGUACCGGAACCUGCCCAUUGACAUUAAACUGACGUCAGUGGAAUACCUAACCUUCGCCGCGAUCUCGAAGCUGAUCGCCGCGGGCGCCACCUACCCGUACCAAGUAGUCCGGGCUCGCCUUCAGGACCAACACCGCGUGUACCGCGGCGCCUGGCACUGCGUCACCGAGACCUGGAGGUACGAACGCCUCCGCGGCUUCUAUAAGGGCCUCACGCCGUACCUGCUACAUGUAACGCCUAACAUAUGCCUAGUUAUGCUCAUUUGGGAAAAGUUCACCAACAACGAUUAGAUGUACGUCUGAUGGGAACGCGACUGUACUUAAGAUAGGAUUUAAUUGUUUUGGAGUCUUUCAGUGUGCCGGACCGUGGUCUGCUGGUCUGCGAGUAUUCACAUGACGCGGUAGAAUAUAAUUAUAUUGAACCUACAUAUGUUACUAGAUCCGUUUUGGAGUCGACAAAUUUGGACAAGGAGAUGAGAAUAUUCUAAAUAAAAUAUACGUAGAUCGUCUCUAGCCCACCCAGGUGCCGUAGCCGAAUGGCAUUUCUGCGACGCGAAACGAAACGAAACGACGCGAAAGGUAGUCUGGCUUUGUCGCGUCAAUACGCAAGAGCGAUAGAGAUAGAUACAUACUAGCGCUUCGUUUCGUGAGCAUUUGUGCCAUUCGGCUACGCACCCAGAUGAUUUAAAAUUUUAAUCUAUUUUGUAUAAGUAAAUUGAAAAAUAAAGUUUUGCUAGAAUUUUGUGUAGAAAUGUAGUUUUAAAAAUAAUACGUCUUCAUAUUUGUCUCUUGCAGAAUUUAUCUAGUAAUCUAAGUAGAAAAUACAAUCGUCCAAAUUUUUAACCGUUAAAUUAAGCCUUUCAAAAAGACAUUUCUUGAAUGUUCAGUUAAGACUAUUGGAGUUAUUAAAAUUAAUUCGACACAGACGAAUAAGGACGAAUAAUAAUAUUCAUCAUUAAAGAAAGCACAAUAGGCUACUUUCCUAUACUUAAAAUAAAAUAUACAUGCAGAGCCCGAAAUAAAGCACCACAUAAUUAGAAGAAAAAUAUGGACAGUAGUUAUGUUUAAAUGUAAUUUCUAUUUAAUAAGUCAAAGAGAAAGAUAUAAACUAUAAAGCAAAUGAAUUGACCCUGACGUCACUCCUCAGUAUUUCAUGGUAAUUCCAUAUUAGGAAAUCGUUUUGACAGUCCUUAAAAAGAAGCUGAUUUGACUAGUAGGAAACUAGCCUAUUACAUUCAUCAGUUUCCGAUUUUUUGCCGAAUUAUAACAAUUUCGUAAUAAUUACAAUAUUGCUCUCAAUUUAGAAAUAUGUGUCGAUAAUUAAAUAAUUAUGAUCUGUAGGGACAGUCAAUUAUGUCAUACCAUUAUUGGUUUACACUAUUUUAAGUUUUAGCUAGUCUAAUCCGAGGAAUUAUUCUGUAAAAAGUUAUAAUUCUGACCAUAGCCACUUUGUCAAUAGAUGAUGUUACGAUAAGUAUUGUUAAAAUACAAAAGCAAACGUCAUGUCUGUCUAGACAAUAUUUGUAUUUUGCCACAACUAUCUACUCUAAUAUUUAUAUUAACUCCUACUGUUAUUAUUGUUUUUCAUUGGAUCGGUACUAUAAUAAAAUCGCGUAUUUUUUGUGCGGUAUUCUUUUUUUUCUGAUUUUAUGAAAAUUAAAAGUCUUGGCACUUAUCUUCGAUCUUUUGGAAUGCAAAGCCACGAGGGCAUUCGCGGAUUCUACAAGGGCCUGAAGCCAAGCCUGGUGCGAGUGGUCCCCGCUACCAUGAUCACGUUCCUCACGUACGAAAACGUGUCUCACUACAUGCUGCGGCGCGGACGCGAGAUGGCGC